ACUCGGCAAGCUCGCGUGCACGAGAAAGCUAGCCAACUGAAAGAACGGCUGUAGAAGCGCGCGGCUUCCCGCGCAGUUCCACGCUUGCAAAUCGCCGUUUGUGCGUUCUGCAGUUUGUACUGUUCUCCCGGACAGUCACGGCGUGCCUGUGUGGGUGUAGCUGCGGUGUGGACUGCAGAAAUGAAGCCUGCCAGGGGGAAAACGCCGAAAAAGAAGGGUCCCUCCAGGCCGGCAUCCACGGAAGCGCAAGACCCGGUUGAAGUGUACUGCCGCAUCCGACCGUUGCACAAUCCCACCGACGUCCCUGUCGUGCGCGUCAUUGACAACAAAAUUGUCCAGCUUGAACCCCAGGAAACCAAUGGGCAGUCAAGGAAUAUACAGAAGCAGUACCGGUACACAUUCAAGUGUGUGUUCGACACCGAUGCAUCGCAGCAAGAGUUAUUCGAGCAUGUUGGCCUGCCCUUGGUCAGCGAUCUUCUACACGGGAAGCCCGGGCUUCUCUUCACCUAUGGAAUUACAUCGUCCGGCAAGACCUACACCAUGACAGGGCACCCGCAGGACGGAGGCAUCCUGCCACGAUGCUUGGACGUGGUGUUCAACUCCAUCGGGGAAUAUCAAGCUCGGAAAUAUGUUUUCAAACCGGACAAGCUCAAUGGCUACGACACACAGACAAUGGCUGAGGCAAUGGCCGAGUACCAACAGGACAUCAUGCCUCACACGCCAAAGCCGCCGAAAAUAAGGAGGAGGGACGAUGAUGGAGUGGACUGGACAAGUCGCACGCACGAGACCGCCAAAGUAGACGAUGUCGACGCUGACAUGGCAUAUGCAGUGUUUGUCUCGUACAUUGAGAUCUACAAUAAUUAUGUGUACGACCUCCUGGAGGACAAUCCAAUAGAUCCUCUGAAGACAAAACAGCUGCAGUCAAAGAUGCUACGUGAGGACUCCAAGCGCUGCGUCUAUGCCUUCGGGGUGACUGAGGUCGAAGUGAAGAGCGCAGACGAGGCAUUCGACGCCUGGUGUCGGGGACAGAAGCGCAAGCGCAUCGCUCACACCGCCCUCAAUGCGGAGUCCAGCAGGAGCCACAGCAUCUUCAACAUCCGGCUCGUUCAAGCGCCACUCGAUGCUCAGGGCCUGGACAUCUUGCAGGACAAGAAUGCGCUGAUCAUCAGUCAGCUUUCGCUCGUGGACCUCGCCGGCAGUGAGCGCACAGACAGAACCGGCAACACUGGCCACCGGCUGAGGGAAGCAGGAAACAUCAACAAUUCUCUCAUGGUCCUACGCACGUGCAUUGAAAUUCUGAGGGAAAACCAGACAACUGGGUCCAAUAAGAUGGUGCCCUACAGAGAUGCAAAGAUCACCCAUCUCUUCAAGAACUUCUUUGAUGGUGAAGGCAAAGUGCGGAUGAUUGUCUGUCUGAACCCGCGGCCAGACGACUACGAUGAGACCUUUCACGUGAUGAAAUUUGCGGAGAUGGCUCAGGAGGUCCUGGUCCCGUGCUCCACACCGACAACACCCGCCGCAACGCUCAAUCUGCGUACCGGUCGCAGGCGGCCCAUCUUGCCGCGUACAGCAAAGUUCGGCGGCAGCCUGAAAGAGCUUUCCACAAUGCCACCUCCAGAAACGCCAAGGGAGGUGAUCCGCAUGCCGGAGCUGCAGAACUACUUGCUUACGGAUCCCUCUGAUGGCGAAGUUCUGCGGCGAAUGGAGGAGUGGCUGUCCCAGACGAUCAUGCUCAGGAAGGAGACCAAAGCAAGCGACUUGGCCCUGGUUGAUGACCUCAGGAGGCAGAUCAUACAGAUGGAAGCUGAGAAUGGGGUGUUGAAAGAGGAGCACAAGGUACUGCGGAUGGACCUCAAGGCUCGGGAGCAGCAGGUGAUUCUGCUCGAGAAGAAACUGUCCAACGCGGAGCAGUCCGUCCAAGCCCUCAACCUCGAGCUGGAAGGCAUGUUUCGCCAGAAGAAGACUGUGGAGAACAUGCUGGAUGAAAAGCAGAUGCAGCUGAACAAGGAGGCCAUGGAGAAAGUCCAGAUGCAUCACCGGAUGCAGGAGCAGAUCCAGCUGGAGAGGGAGAGGAUGAAGCGGGCCAUGAACCAGCUGCUUGCCGACAAGCAGGCCGAACUGGAGGCCAAGCUUAGCGUGAACCACGAGAAGUUCCGCAUCCUGCGUGAAGUGCUCAACGGGGCAGACUGGGACGCGCCCGAGCCGUCUGCACCUCCCGCACCAGCGGAGAGCGGCGUGAUGACCCGCUCUGCUGCUGCCAGAGUAUCGGCAACCGGAAUGUUAUCAUCGACUUCCGAGCCCAGGCUUUGUGGCACGCCAAAGACCACCAUGCCUCCAGUGAUGCGCCACAGGCGCUCCAGAUCUUCUGGUGCCGAGAUGUGGGUGGACCACAAGCCGGCCGGUACUGUCGACACCGGCUCGGUGAUGCAGCCGGUGAUGAAGAAAAAGAAGUCGGUGGGCAAGCUGGGUGUGAAGGAUGUCACCAAGGGGGCGUCCAAGUACGCGCUCUUGCACCAGGAACAGGACGCAGGUGGUGACGUGGAAGAACAGCUCUACAAGGGAGACGUCAUCCCUUCCAUGACCGGUGGGGCCCAAGUUGUCUUCAGCGAGGUGGAGACAGUGAAGCAUUUGUCGCCAACUUCAAGUCAGCUCAGGUGUAAUCAGUCAGAAGAAGCGAAGCAGUGGACGGGCAGUGCGUGAUGACGAUGAGGACUACGUGUCGGCUCGUUGCUCAGUGUCAGUUGAAGGUCACGCACAUCCUUCUGUGAUAAAACGAUCAAGAGUGUGAAUACUUUGGACCUGCUGCAUCAACCUGUGCCAAUCUCACUGCUGUAUAUAACUGCAAGAACGAGUGUAUCUUAGCGAUUCGCAAAUAUUUUUAUGCUUCAAAUAAAGCGUUUUUAGGACAAAAGUG
This is an RNA transcript of Dermacentor andersoni, 2914 nucleotides long. It is a transcript of the gene named kinesin family member pavarotti, with no coding region annotated. The record is from RefSeq and is a predicted model, not a curated record. Lineage: Eukaryota; Metazoa; Arthropoda; Arachnida; Ixodida; Ixodidae.